UGGGGAAUAUUGGACAAUGGGCGCAAGCCUGAUCCAGCCAUGCCGCGUGUGUGAAGAAGGCCUUUUGGUUGUAAAGCACUUUAAGCGAGGAGGAGGCUACUUGGAUUAAUACUCUAGGAUAGUGGACGUUACUCGCAGAAUAAGCACCGGCUAACUCUGUGCCAGCAGCCGCGGUAAUACAGAGGGUGCGAGCGUUAAUCGGAUUUACUGGGCGUAAAGCGUGCGUAGGCGGCUUCUUAAGUCGGAUGUGAAAUCCCUGAGCUUAACUUAGGAAUUGCAUUCGAUACUGGGAAGCUAGAGUAUGGGAGAGGAUGGUAGAAUUCCAGGUGUAGCGGUGAAAUGCGUAGAGAUCUGGAGGAAUACCGAUGGCGAAGGCAGGCAUCUGGCCUAAUACUGACGCUGAGGUACGAAAGCAUGGGGAGCAAACAGG
Molecule: ribosomal RNA, 430 nt
Filed under: bacterium
Lineage: Bacteria
Description: partial 16S ribosomal RNA
Rfam family: Bacterial small subunit ribosomal RNA
Source: RNAcentral